Molecule: ribosomal RNA, 586 nt
Filed under: uncultured bacterium
Lineage: Bacteria
Description: bacterial SSU rRNA
Rfam family: Bacterial small subunit ribosomal RNA
Source: RNAcentral
CCUACGGGAGGCAGCAGUUUCGAAUCAUUCACAAUGGGCGAAAGCCUGAUGGUGCGACGCCGCGUGAGGGAUGAAGGUCUUCGGAUUGUAAACCUCUGUCACCGGGGAAGAAACGCUUUGAGUUAAUAGUUCAAAGCCUGACUUAACCCGGAGAGGAAGCAGUGGCUAACUCUGUGCCAGCAGCCGCGGUAAUACAGAGACUGCAAGCGUUAUUCGGAUUCACUGGGCGUAAAGGGUGCGCAGGCGGCCAUGUGUGUGAGGCGUGAAAGCCCGAGGCUCAACCUCGGAAUUGCACCUCAAACUACAUGGCUAGAGCAUUGGAGAGGGUAGCAGAAUUCAUGGUGUAGCAGUGAAAUGCGUAGAUAUCAUGAGGAAUACCAGAGGCGAAGGCGGCUACCUGGACAAUUGCUGACGCUCAGGCACGAAAGCGUGGGGAGCAAAAGGGAUUAGAUACCCCUGUAGUCCACGCCCUAAACGGUGCAUACUAGGUCUUGGCGGAUUCGACCCCACCAGGGCCCAAGCUAACGCGAUAAGUAUGCCGCCUGAGGACUACGGCCGCAAGGCUAAAACUCAAAUGAAUUGACGG